RNAcentral lists this long non-coding RNA (1735 nucleotides) under Macaca mulatta (Rhesus monkey). RNAcentral describes it as "lncRNA (ENSMMUG00000050075.1)". The record is from RNAcentral. Lineage: Eukaryota; Metazoa; Chordata; Mammalia; Primates; Cercopithecidae.
CUUUACAGUUCCUAAAUAUGUUGUGUCCCGAGUUUGUUCCUUCUGAUGUUCAGAGUUGUCCAGAGCUUCUUCCUUCUGGUGGGUUCCUGGUCUAGUUGACUUCAGGAGUGAAGCUGCAGACCUUCCCAGGGAGUGUUACAGCUCUUAAAGGUUGCACAGACCCAAAGAGUAAGGAGUAGCACAAUUUAUUAAAAAGAGCAAAAGAGUCCGAGUGGGGUGGAUCAUGAGGUCAAGACCAUUCUGGCUAACGCAGUAAAAUCCCGUCUCUACUAAAAAAUACCAAAAAAACAAACAAAAAACUACCAGCUAUUUGGGAGGCUGAGGUAGGAGAAUGGCCAGUAAACCCAAGAGACAGAGUUUGCAGUGAGCCGAGAUCCGGCCACUGCACUCCAGCCUGUGGAGUUUGUAGUGAGCUGAGAUCCGGCCCCUGCACUCCAGCCAGUGCGAUACAGUGAGACUCCUUUCCAAAGAAAACAAAAAAAAAAAAAGCAAAAGUACAACUCCUCCACCGCCUGGAAGGGGACCUGAGCAGGUUGCCCCUGCUGGCUUGGGUGGCCUGCUUUUAUUCCCUUAUCUGGCCUCACCCACAUUUUGCUGAUUGGUCCAUUUCACAAAGAACUGAUUGGUCCGUUUUACAGAAUGCUGAUUGGUCUGUUUUGACAGAGUGCUGGUUGGUGCAUUUACAAACCUUUAGCUAGACACAGAGCGCUGAUUGGUGCAUUUACAAUCCUUUAGCUAGACAGAAAAGUUCUCCAAGUGCGCAGGGACCCAGAAGCACAGCAAGCUUCACCUCUCACUGGCACUCACCAAGAGUUUCCCGGCACCUAGCAGGGGGCUCCUGCAGCGCAGAGGGAGCUUGUCCUAGACAAUCAAGAGGAAAAGAGGGGAAGUGAGAAAGAGAGGGAGACCUGCUAUGGUGGCCAAUGAUCCUGUGAAGAGGGAACGGUGGUCCACUCACGGGAUUCAGCCUCCGAUCAAGCCCAGCAGGCACCUGCGGCGCCCAGUGCGGGGCUUGCCCAGGCCGCGCUCACCUGGAACCGGUGACAGCCUGCGAGCGCCCCGCGGGCGCCUCUCUCUUCAUACCUCCCCGCCAGCAGAGGGAGCCGGCUCUGGCCUUGGCGAGGCCCAGAGAGGGGCCUUCGUGGCGCAGCAGCAGGCUGAAGGGCUCCCGGAGCGCGGCCAGAGCAGACACCCAGACCGAGGAGGCGCCGAGAGCCAGCGAGGGCUGCUAGCAGGUUGUAACUUCUCAAAGCCAUCAAUAUGGAACUGUGAUAUCUUGCUCAUAUCAUCCAACAAAGGAAAACAAGAAGAGUUAACUCUCCGAAUGCUUAUGGAUUGCUGAGAUUGUUUUCUAAGUGCUUUAACAGAAGAAGUUAUCUAAGCUUCUCAACCAUACUAUUAGGUAAGUACUACCAUAAUCUCAUUUUAUAGAUGAGGAAACUAGGGCAAAGUGAGGUUAAGUAACUUGCCUGAAGUCCCCUGGUUAGUGGGGCAGAGAAGCCAAGAAUCAAGCCCUGGAUUCAUAACUCCUCUGCGCUGCUGAUCUUGGAGAGUGGACAGCCAAUGAGAGAGACCCAGGCAUGAUGUCAGAGUCUCAUUUUUCAUAACGAUAUUGGCUCUUAUUUUGUAUUUAUAAUGUAUCUUCUCAACCUCUGUGGUUGAACAAUUUUUAUUUUUCCAUUUUUGUUUUAGACUUUAUUAAAAUACAAAAUUUUUAAAUAUUUAUGAGCUUUAG